This 458-nucleotide ribosomal RNA is filed under the name uncultured Polynucleobacter sp. RNAcentral's name for it is "bacterial SSU rRNA". It matches the Rfam family "Bacterial small subunit ribosomal RNA", at positions 416 to 868 of the family's 1533-position model. Lineage: Bacteria; Pseudomonadati; Pseudomonadota; Betaproteobacteria; Burkholderiales; Burkholderiaceae. The record is from RNAcentral.
CUUCGGGUUGUAAAGCUCUUUUGUCAGGGAAGAAACACCGGCUCUAACACAGUCCGGGAAUGACGGUACCUGAAGAAUAAGCACCGGCUAACUACGUGCCAGCAGCCGCGGUAAUACGUAGGGUGCAAGCGUUAAUCGGAAUUACUGGGCGUAAAGCGUGCGCAGGCGGUUAUACAAGACAGGCGUGAAAUCCCCGGGCUUAACCUGGGAAUGGCGCCUGUGACUGUAUAGCUAGAGUGUGUCAGAGGGGGGUAGAAUUCCACGUGUAGCAGUGAAAUGCGUAGAUAUGUGGAGGAAUACCAAUGGCGAAGGCAGCCCCCUGGGAUAACACUGACGCUCAUGCACGAAAGCGUGGGGAGCAAACAGGAUUAGAUACCCUGGUAGUCCACGCCCUAAACGAUGCUGACUAGUUGUUCGGGAUUUACAUCCUGAGUAACGUAGCUAACGCGUGAAGUCAG